Molecule: ribosomal RNA, 253 nt
Filed under: uncultured bacterium
Lineage: Bacteria
Description: partial 16S ribosomal RNA
Rfam family: Bacterial small subunit ribosomal RNA
Source: RNAcentral
UACGUAGGGUGCGAGCGUUGUCCGGAAUUACUGGGCGUAAAGAGCUCGUAGGUGGUUUGUCGCGUUCUUCGUGAAAACCGGGGGCUUAACCCUCGGCGUGCGGGCGAUACGGGCAGACUUGAGUACUGCAGAGGAGACUGGAAUUCCUGGUGUAGCGGUGGAAUGCGCAGAUAUCAGGAGGAACACCGGUGGCGAAGGCGGGUCUCUGGGCAGUAACUGACGCUGAGGAGCGAAAGCGUGGGGAGCAAACAGG